Molecule: transfer RNA, 70 nt
Filed under: Trichonephila clavata
Lineage: Eukaryota; Metazoa; Arthropoda; Arachnida; Araneae; Nephilidae
Rfam family: tRNA
About the family: Transfer RNA (tRNA) molecules are approximately 80 nucleotides in length. Their secondary structure includes four short double-helical elements and three loops (D, anti-codon, and T loops). Further hydrogen bonds mediate the characteristic L-shaped molecular structure. tRNAs have two regions of fundamental functional importance: the anti-codon, which is responsible for specific mRNA codon recognition, and the 3' end, to which the tRNAs corresponding amino acid is attached (by aminoacyl-tRNA synthetases). tRNAs cope with the degeneracy of the genetic code in two manners: having more than one tRNA (with a specific anti-codon) for a particular amino acid; and 'wobble' base-pairing, i.e. permitting non-standard base-pairing at the 3rd anti-codon position.
Source: Rfam by way of RNAcentral
GCCGAAAUAGCUCAGUUGGGAGAGCGUUAGACUGAAGAUCUAAAGUCCUGGUUCAUCCCGGGUUUCGGCA